CGAGUAGGCGGUCGGCCAAGCGGAAUGUGAAAUCCCGGGGCUCAACCCCGGAACUGCAUUCCGAACUUGCUGACUAGAGGACAGGAGGGGGAAGUGGAACUCCAGGUGGAGCGGUGAAAUGCGUAGAUAUCUGGAGGAACACCGGUGGCGAAAGCGACUUCCUGGCCUGUCCCUGACGCUGAGGCGCGAAAGCGUGGGUAGCAAACAGGAUUAGAUACCCUGGUAGUCC
This 229-nucleotide ribosomal RNA is filed under the name uncultured bacterium. Its description in RNAcentral is "partial 16S ribosomal RNA". It matches the Rfam family "Bacterial small subunit ribosomal RNA", at positions 568 to 796 of the family's 1533-position model. The record is from RNAcentral.